RNAcentral lists this long non-coding RNA (334 nucleotides) under Gallus gallus (chicken). The record is from RNAcentral. Lineage: Eukaryota; Metazoa; Chordata; Aves; Galliformes; Phasianidae.
CCUCUCCAGGUUUGCAGUCCAGCACAGUCUUAAGAGAUUGCAAGGAAUGGACAAUGCACUGUUCAAAAUGGGAAGGCAACGAUGUCAAGCCUUCAUUGUCAACAACCCAGUCUUCCUUUUCAGCUAGCCUCUUUAUAUCUUCAGCUGUAUGUUGUAAAGUCACUAUAAUGCAACGUACUCGAAGGUCUAAAAUAAGAUCCUGGAUGAUCUGAAGCAUAUCAUUGGGUAUCUCAAGUGCAGUAAGAGACUCAGAACUAAGCCUUACUGUCUGGAUAACAUGUGUUAGCCACUGGCCAGAAAGUUCAGAUUUCAUCUCCCAGCCACCAUACUGUCU